AUGCGAUAACUAAUGUGAAUUGCAGAAUUCAGUGAAUCAUCGAGUCUUUGAACGCACAUUGCGCCCCCUGGUAUUCCGGGGGGCAUGCCUGUCCGAGCGUCAUUGCUGCCCUCAAGCCCGGCUUGUGUGUUGGGUCGCCGUCCCCCUCUCCGGGGGGACGGGCCCGAAAGGCAGCGGCGGCACCGCGUCCGAUCCUCGAGCGUAUGGGGCUUUGUCACAUGCUCUGUAGGAUUGGCCGGCGCCUGCCGACGUUUUCCAACCAUUCUUUCCAGGUUGACCUCGGAUCAGGUAGGGAUACCCGCUGAACUUAA
This 311-nucleotide unclassified non-coding RNA is filed under the name uncultured Aspergillus. Its description in RNAcentral is "partial contains 5.8S ribosomal RNA, internal transcribed spacer 2, and large subunit ribosomal RNA". The stretch from base 1 to 102 matches the Rfam family "5.8S ribosomal RNA", at positions 53 to 154 of the family's 154-position model. Lineage: Eukaryota; Fungi; Ascomycota; Eurotiomycetes; Eurotiales; Aspergillaceae. The record is from RNAcentral.